AUCUCUGAUCAUAAAACCUAGUGAACCGCAAGCAAGCUGGUAUUUGUGUUACAAAACCACCUGGGGAGGCUGGCCUCACUUGGCACUUGCCUUGACUCCUGAGAAGAGGUUGAACCAAGAAAAUGGAAAACUAUAGUAAUGUGUUGGCUCAGCAAAAGCCUGAGACCCAAGGUUCAAGAAAAAGUAUUCACAAGAGUCAUUCAGAACAGGACUUUCCACAUGGCAAGUUCUCAAUGAAUGGCUCCCCAUUUCCCUUGUGUGGAUCAGAGUCCUGGAAAACAAAUCUUAGCAUGUAGGUGGUCAGGAAAAGGACUCUAGAUAUCAUCCCAACUCAUCAAAUUGAGAGGGAACACGAUGAGGAUGGUACAAUUACCAUUUAAGAGGAAACUUCAAGUAUGCCUCCAUAAAGCUACCCAAAAAUACAUAAAUGGAGAUUCCAGUGUUGGAGUGUCUACUACUGAUCACAGGAUCCAUGCUGCCAUCACUUCUUGCCUGGAAAAUGACAAUGGCCAUCCUCUCUUUGGGGCCUUCUUCAAUUCAUCUUUAACUCUAUAGUUGGAAUGAUUUAUCUUAGUGAGCAAGUUGAUUAUUUCACUCCUUUGCCAAAGCUGUGCAGUAGCUCCUGGUUACUUAAAAAUAACAUCUAACUUCUUGUCUGAGACUUUAACUGUUCUUCCCAACUCCAAGAUAAAUCCUUGGCACUUCCUGCUUUACUCCCAGUAUUAAACAGUGUUCUCAUCAAUGAGACAUAAUACCCAACAGUCAUAGUUAAAGGAGAAGUUUAAUUUACUCGUGGUUUUUGUCCAUGAUAGGCUCACUUCAAGCAGAGACAUUAUGGUGAAUGGGCACAGUGGAACAAAACUGCUUAGUUCAUAGUGGUCAGGAAGCAAAGUAGGGAAAGAAUGUCAGACAGAAAUGGGCUAGGGACCAUAUAUAGUAGCUAUGACCUACCCAGACACACCCAAAAUUGUAUUUAACUAAUCUGCUAGGUGUUUCUUAAACCACUGAAGUUUACAUAUCAGAAUUAAUGGUCACAAUCCAUUCCUUGUCAACUUCACACCCAAAUAAAGUUUCUUAAUCCAUACUUAAUCUUCAAAUAAAGACAAAUUCAUAAUUUCACCUAAUAUAAUACAACUAUUCCAUGUACAACUGGAAAUGGAAUAAUCCCUUCCCCAAAGUUUCGUAAGUUGUAGUGUUUUUUUUUUCAAAAGUCCAAAUAAAUCCAAGUCUUUUCUGAGACUUAAGGCACACUCUUAGCUGUGAAACUCUGUAAAGAUUUUUUAAAAAAGUAACAUAGUCCCAAGGAACAAUAGCACAUGGUAAAAUUCCCAUUCCAAAAAAGAGCAAUGGGGAAAGAAUCAUUAAAACAAGAUAAAAAACCACCAGGCCAAACAUUAAUCCUGUAGAUCCAUGUCCAGCUGCCAGAGCACAUUAUGAUAAAAUGUAAGGUUCAAAAGGCAUGGGUAGUCCCACUCCUUUAGCCUCACCAGUUGCAGACCACAAUGCCUCUUUCUUGGGAGGGCUUCCACUCAUGGCUUUCAGCUUUCCUUGGCUGAUGGUCCAAAUCCAGACAGCUUGAACUUCCUGUUGUCU
This is a long non-coding RNA of Heterocephalus glaber (naked mole-rat), 1593 nucleotides long. RefSeq lists it as uncharacterized. Lineage: Eukaryota; Metazoa; Chordata; Mammalia; Rodentia; Bathyergidae. The record is from RefSeq and is a predicted model, not a curated record.